RNAcentral lists this small RNA (3204 nucleotides) under Pongo abelii (Sumatran orangutan). Its description in RNAcentral is "retained intron". Lineage: Eukaryota; Metazoa; Chordata; Mammalia; Primates; Hominidae. The record is from RNAcentral.
GCGUCGAUCCUGGGUUGGAGGAGGUGGCGGCCGCUGAGGCUGCGGCGUGAAGACGGCGGGCAUGGUGGGGCGGGAGAAAGAGCUCUCUAUACACUUUGUUCCCGGGAGCUGCCGGCUGGUGGAGGAGGAAGUUAACAUCCCUAAUAGGAGGGUUCUGGUUACUGGUGCCACUGGGCUUCUUGGCAGAGCUGUACACAAAGAAUUUCAGCAGAAUAAUUGGCAUGCUGUUGGCUGUGGUUUUAGAAGAGCAAGACCAAAAUUUGAACAGGUUAAUCUAUUGGAUUCUAAUGCAGUUCAUCACAUCAUUCAUGAUUUUCAGGUAUGAUUUAGGUUAUUUUAACAUAUACAUGAACAAUAUUAAGAAUUGUCUCGAUGAUACAGAAACUAUCCUUGCUCUCAAGGAAACUACUAUGCUUGAAAGCUCUAAAGCUGUAUUAUGCAGUAGCAUUUUUUUCAUUUAGCGUGACAUGGUAUAUGUAAACCUUAAAGUUAAAUUUUGAUACGUUGACAAAGACAAAUAUGAAGCAUUUUAUAAAAUGCUUAUGUUUAUAGAGUGCCUUCUAAGUAACACUUUCUCUGCAAAUGGUUUUCAAAUGUUACUGUAAACCUCACAACACUGCAAAAUAGUUAUUUUCAUUUUAGAGCUGAGGAAGCAGGCUCAGAGAGGUUUUUGGUAUCAUUGAUACUAUUCUCCCUUUGACAUGGAUUUAUUAGAUAUUUAAAUCAUGUUAAUUGCAUAAAUGAUACCUCUUUCCUCCUGUCCAAGUUGGGGGAUAAAACUUGUUUUGAUUUAGAAACACUUCUGUUUUGUUCUUGUUUUUGAGACGUAAUCUUGCUUUGUUGCCCAGGCUGGAGUGCAGUGGUGCAGUUGAGCUCACUGCAGCCUCCGCCUCCCAGGGUUCAAGCAAUUCUCCUGCCUCAGCUUCCUGAGUACCUGAGACUACAGGCAUGCACAAGCACACCUGGCUAAUUGUUGUAUUUCUAGUAGAGAUGGGGUUUCACCAUGUUGGCCAGGCUGGUCUUGAACUCCUGACCUCAAGUGAUCCGCCCACCUCAGCCUUCCAAAGUGCUGGGAUUACAGAUUUGAGCCACCGCGCCCAGCCUAGAAACAUGGUUGUUUUAUUUUCAGACAGGGUCUCACUCUGUAGCUCAGGGUGAAGUACUGUAGAUCGAUCACAGUCCACUGUAGCCUUGAAUUCCUUGGCUCAAGUGAUCCUUCUGCCUCGGCCUCCGCAGAGUUAGAACUACAGGCUCAUGCCACCACGACUGGCUAAUUUUUAAAUUUUUUUGUAGAGAUUGAGUACCACUACGUUGCCCAGUCUUAUCCUGAACUCCUGGCCUCAAGCAGUCUCUCACCUCAGCCUCCCAAAGUGUUGAGAUUACAUGCAUGAACCAUCACACCAGAGUAGAAAUACAGUUGUUGACAGUUUUUUUCCUGGUUUGUGUCUACAUAUUAUGAAAUACUCUUUUCAGUGCCUAUAAAUAUUUUAAGUUUGAACCUUGCGGGGAAAAGAAGCAGCAUGACAAAACUGCAUUAGAAAUUACAAUGAUUUAUUCUUAGUUGAAAGAAUGUUGACUUACUGCACAUUUUUCUCUGAAUUAACUUUAAGAAGGCUGUAAUACCUCUUUCAUUUUAUUUUGAGUUAAAAAUACGUCAAUGCUUAACUUCCAGCCCCAUGUUAUAGUACAUUGUGCAGCAGAGAGAAGACCAGAUGUUGUAGAAAAUCAGCCAGAUGCUGCCUCUCAACUUAAUGUGGAUGCUUCUGGGAAUUUAGCAAAGGAAGCAGCUGCUGUUGGAGCAUUUCUCAUCUACAUUAGCUCAGAUUAUGUAUUUGAUGGAACAAAUCCACCUUACAGAGAGGAAGACAUACCAGCUCCCCUAAAUUUGUAUGGCAAAACAAAAUUAGAUGGAGAAAAGGCUGUCCUGGAGAACAAUCUAGGAGCUGCUGUUUUGAGGAUUCCUAUUCUGUAUGGGGAAGUUGAAAAGCUCGAAGAAAGUGCUGUGACUGUUAUGUUUGAUAAAGUGCAGUUCAGCAACAAGUCAGCAAACAUGGAUCACUGGCAGCAGAGGUUCCCCACACAUGUCAAAGAUGUGGCCACUGUGUGCCGGCAGCUAGCAGAGAAGAGAAUGCUGGAUCCAUCAAUUAAGGGAACCUUUCACUGGUCUGGCAAUGAACAGAUGACUAAGUAUGAAAUGGCAUGUGCAAUUGCAGAUGCCUUCAACCUCCCCAGCAGUCACUUAAGACCUAUUACUGACAGCCCUGUCCUAGGAGCACAACGUCCAAGAAAUGCUCAGCUUGACUGCUCCAAAUUGGAGACCUUGGGCAUUGGCCAACGAACACCAUUUCGAAUUGGAAUCAAAGAAUCACUUUGGCCUUUCCUCAUUGACAAGAGAUGGAGACAAACCGUCUUUCAUUAGUUUAUUUGUGUUGGUUUUUUUUUUUUUUUAAAUGAAAAGUAUAGUAUGUGGCACUUUUUAAAGAACAAAGGAAAUAGUUUUGUAUGAGUACUUUAAUUGUGACUCUUAGGAUCUUUCAGGUAAAUGAUGCUCUUGCACUAGUGAAAUUGUCUAAAGAAACUAAAGGGCAGUCAUGCCCUGUUUGCAGUAAUUUUUCUUUUUAUCAUUUUGUUUGUCCUGGCUAAACUUGGAGUUUGAGUAUAGUAAAUUAUGAUCCUUAAAUAUUUGAGAGUCAGGAUGAAGCAGAUCUGCUGUAGACUUUUCAGAUGAAAUUGUUCAUUCUCGUAACCUCCAUGUUUUCAGGAUUUUUGAAGCUGUUGACCUUUUCAUGUUGAUUAUUUUAAAUUGUGUGAAAUAGUAUAAAAAUCAUUGGUGUUCAUUAUUUGCUUUGCCUGAGCUCAGAUCAAAAUGUUUGAAGAAAGGAACUUUAUUUUUGCAAGUUACGUACAGUUUUUAUGCUUGAGAUAUUUCAACAUGUUAUGUAUAUUGGAACUUCUACAGCUUGAUGCCUCCUGCUUUUAUAGCAGUUUAUGGGGAGCACUUGAAAGAGUGUGUGUACAUGUAUUUUUUUUCUAGGCAAACAUUGAAUGCAAACGUGUAUUUUUUUAAUAUAAAUAUAUAACUGUCCUUUUCAUCCCAUGUUGCCGCUAAGUGAUAUUUCAUAUGUGUGGUUAUACUCAUAAUAAUGGGCCUUGUAAGUCUUUUCACCAUUCAUGAAUAAUAAUAAAUAUGUACUGCUGGCAUGU